UACAAGCUCGUCGGUACAUCUUAUUCAAUACAAGCGCGGUUCAACCAUUCAUAAACAAACACCUUGAAGUACUUAAGCUCAAAAUGCCUCGUGUCGAUGAUCAUCAACUUCGGCGUGAACAUUUUGAAACUUUUCACAUUUGGUUCAAGGAACAUGUCCAAACUUUGCGAAGGACUACUGAUGUCAUAUUUUC
Camellia sinensis is the source of this 193-nucleotide non-coding RNA. The record is from RefSeq and is a predicted model, not a curated record. Lineage: Eukaryota; Viridiplantae; Streptophyta; Magnoliopsida; Ericales; Theaceae.